This 499-nucleotide ribosomal RNA is filed under the name uncultured bacterium. RNAcentral's name for it is "partial 16S ribosomal RNA". It matches the Rfam family "Bacterial small subunit ribosomal RNA", at positions 28 to 507 of the family's 1533-position model. The record is from RNAcentral.
GACGAACGCUGGCGGCGUGCCUAAUACAUGCAAGUCGAGCGAAGUUUUUCUGGUGCUUGCACCGGAAAAACUUAGCGGCGAACGGGUGAGUAACACGUAAAGAACCUGCCUCAUAGACUGGGACAACUAUUGGAAACGAUAGCUAAUACCGGAUAAUAGCAUUAACUGCAUGGUUGAUGUUUAAAAGUUGGUUUUGCUAACACUAUGAGAUGGCUUUGCGGUGCAUUAGCUAGUUGGUGGGGUAAAGGCCUACCAAGGCGACGAUGCAUGGCCGACCUGAGAGGGUGAUCGGCCACACUGGGACUGAGACACGGCCCAGACUCCUACGGGAGGCAGCAGUAGGGAAUCUUCCGCAAUGGGCGAAAGCCUGACGGAGCAACGCCGCGUGAGUGAAGAAGGAUUUCGGUUCGUAAAGCUCUGUUGUUAGGGAAGAAUGAUUGUGUAGUAACUAUACACAGUAGAGACGGUACCUAACCAGAAAGCCACGGCUAACUACGUG